CCUUAUGGCGGAGCUGUGCGGGGCUUCUUCGGAAGCGCCGGUUCUCUGUGCCCGGUAAGGCUAACCCGCCCAGCUCUGCCACCCAC
This 86-nucleotide non-coding RNA is filed under the name Desulfobotulus alkaliphilus. The record is from RNAcentral. Lineage: Bacteria; Pseudomonadati; Thermodesulfobacteriota; Desulfobacteria; Desulfobacterales; Desulfobacteraceae.